Molecule: long non-coding RNA, 470 nt
Filed under: Bos taurus (domestic cattle)
Lineage: Eukaryota; Metazoa; Chordata; Mammalia; Artiodactyla; Bovidae
Description: long non-coding RNA NONBTAT025388
Source: RNAcentral
GCACAUGGGAAAAGCAUGAGAAUUAUAUAGAUUAAAAAUGUUGUGCUUAGUACUCAGCUCAUUGAAUUUUCAUAUAAUAGUAACUACUGUUCUUCUGUUUACUUGAGGUUUGGGAUUUUAUUUAAAACUCAGAUUCCCUUCACCCAAAAUAAAAGCAGAGUAUGUUUUGUAUGUAAGUAUAAAGAAAAAAACAUUUUGGCAGUUAACAUUUCCUUAUUUAUAUAAAAAGAUGGUUAAUAUUAUGAUUAUUGUGCCUACUUGAAACUUCAUAUCACUUAAUAUUCUGAUUUUGAUGAUUUAUUCUUGAAGAAUCUCUGUCUUGAUUUUAAUAAAACCUAGGUAAUUCUUUUGAAGUAUGUGAACAGAUACAGUUGUGAAAGCAUUUGUCGUUAUCUACAUAGCACCAGUUUAUAAAAUUAAAUACAUCUGUCUCAGUCUCUGCACUGCAGUAUUUUAGAGUAGACUGAUAA